Long non-coding RNA from Vespula vulgaris, 1388 nucleotides. RefSeq lists it as uncharacterized. Lineage: Eukaryota; Metazoa; Arthropoda; Insecta; Hymenoptera; Vespidae. The transcript is spliced from 3 exons. The record is from RefSeq and is a predicted model, not a curated record.
UCAUUGACUUUGAUAGUUAUCGAAUCAGUUUACCUUUGUACUCCGAGAAGAACACAUCGAAGCUCUCUCUUUCUAAACGUGACGAUUUUAAGAUUAAUACUUUUGAUAAUUUUUUAUUUAUUUAAACAAUAAAAAAAAGUGCGCGAAGUUAAACAAACUAAUAAUUAAACAAUAAUAAAUUCGAUUAAAGAUUGCACGUAUUAAAUAUGAAAUAAUUUUAAUUUGCUUUAUUUUAGUUUUCAAUUUUAAAUUGGCGGUCUAUGGCUACGUGUGACGUCAUCAAAAUCAAACCUUUGAUUGACUUUGAUAGUUACUGGAUCAGUUUCGUAUUGUAUUUCGACGAGUGAACAUCGAAAUUCUGACAGGAUGUGUCUCCUGCAAGUAUCAACUAAGACUUAAGAACUUUAUUGCAAUCGUGCGCGUAGCAAUGAAGUAAUCGAGUGUUUGUUUCGCUAAAAUAAAAAUUCGCGUUUCGCGAUUUAAACAACAAGUGUUUUUGCAUGAACUGCGUGCAAUGCAGUCGUUAGAGUCAGUGUUUGUUCGCAAAGUUUUUUGAUUUUUUCACAGUCGUACAGACUGUAUUUAUAAAAAAUAAGAGUUCCGCGAAUUAAAUUCAGUGAACGUUCGUUAAUAAAUAACUAUCGCGAAUUAGAGUCAGUGUAUCACUGAAAAGGAUCUCAACUAACUUCGAUAUGGACCUAUCUCAUUUUCAACCACCUACGAAUCAUCCACCCUCAAUUUCGACCUAAAUCGCGGACGAGUGUUUUGGAGCCAUCGUAGAACUUCUUAAGUAGUUAAAUGAGGGAUCGAUCAUCAUGGAAUUAGAUUUUUACAGAGAAAUUUAUGAAAUCUCUUUGUAUGUAAUUCUAAUUCUCUCUUUUUCUGUUUCAGAUAAAUAUAUAUGAUAUUGAAUAGAUGAUAAGAACAUUGAGAGUAACAUCUCGUAUAAAACUCGUAUCAAAUACACUCGUCAUAAAUUUAUUUUGAUCGACAAAUUCUAUCAGAAAUUUGCAAAUUUGAAUUUAAGUAUCGUUUCGUAAUUAAAAAAAAAAAAAAAAGAAAAAAAAUGUGGAUACGAUUGUUUUAUUUCAAUUUUGAACAAUGAAGAAACGAUUACGAUUAAAAUGUGUUUUUAGAAAAUUAUAUUACAUCUGAAUUGUUUUCCAAUUUUUAUUGUUAUACAUUGAAAUAAAAUAGAUUAAAAUAAAGUAAAAUAUUCAUGUAUGUAUCUUUAAAAAAAUUCUACUAAGCAUUCUCAAUCAAAUUUCAAUUGAAAACUCGUUACUCAUUCCAAAGUGUAUACUGAUUUAAUUUAAAAAGAAUAAAAAUUUCAUCAAAUUAAAGUAAGAUAAUUAGUAUAAAAAAAGAAGAAAAAGAAAAACUUGAAA